AGUGAACGCUGGCGGUAGGCCUAACACAUGCAAGUCGAACGGCAGCACAGUAAGAGCUUGCUCUUACGGGUGGCGAGUGGCGGGCGGGUGAGGAAUACAUCGGAAUCUACUUUUUCGUGGGGGAUAACGUAGGGAAACUUACGCUAAUACCGCAUACGACCUACGGGUGAAAUCAGGGGAUCUUCGGACCUUGCGCGAUUGAAUGAGCCGAUGUUGGAUUAGCUAGUUGGCGGGGUAAAGGCCCACCAAGGCGACGAUCCGUAGCUGGUCUGAGAGGAUGAUCAGCCACACUGGAACUGGGACACGGUCCAGACUCCUACGGGAGGCAGCAGUGGGGAAUAUUGGACGAAGGGCGCAAGCCUGAUCCAGCCAUACCGCGUGGGUGAAGAAGGCCUUCGGGUUGUAAAGCCCUUUUGUUGGGAAAGAAAAGCAGCAGGUUAAUACCCCGCUGUUCUGACGGUACCCAAAGAAUAAGCACCGGCUAACUUCGUG
This 492-nucleotide ribosomal RNA is filed under the name uncultured bacterium. RNAcentral's name for it is "partial 16S ribosomal RNA". It matches the Rfam family "Bacterial small subunit ribosomal RNA", at positions 29 to 507 of the family's 1533-position model. The record is from RNAcentral.